AGUGAACGCUGGCGGUAGGCCUAACACAUGCAAGUCGAACGGCAGCACAGUAAGAGCUUGCUCUUACGGGUGGCGAGUGGCGGACGGGUGAGGAAUACAUCGGAAUCUACUUUUUCGUGGGGGAUAACGUAGGGAAACUUACGCUAAUACCGCAUACGACCUACGGGUGAAAGCAGGGGAUCUUCGGACCUUGCGCGAUUGAAUGAGCCGAUGUCGGAUUAGCUAGUUGGCGGGGUAAAGGCCCACCAAGGCGACGAUCCGUAGCUGGUCUGAGAGGAUGAUCAGCCACACUGGAACUGAGACACGGUCCAGACUCCUACGGGAGGCAGCAGUGGGGAAUAUUGGACAAUGGGGGCAAGCCUGAUCCAGCCAUACCGCGUGGGUGAAGAAGGCCUUCGGGUUGUAAAGCCCUUUUGUUGGGAAAGAAAAGCAGCAGGUUAAUACCCCGCUGUUCUGACGGUACCCAAAGAAUAAGCACCGGCUAACUUCGCG
RNAcentral lists this ribosomal RNA (492 nucleotides) under uncultured bacterium. Its description in RNAcentral is "partial 16S ribosomal RNA". It matches the Rfam family "Bacterial small subunit ribosomal RNA", at positions 29 to 507 of the family's 1533-position model. The record is from RNAcentral.